Molecule: non-coding RNA, 100 nt
Filed under: Leptotrichia sp.
Lineage: Bacteria; Fusobacteriati; Fusobacteriota; Fusobacteriia; Fusobacteriales; Leptotrichiaceae
Also listed under: 1 other name
Description: Glycine sequence
Rfam family: Glycine riboswitch aptamer
About the family: This family represents the bacterial glycine riboswitch. Glycine riboswitches usually consist of two metabolite-binding aptamers domains with similar structures in tandem. The aptamers cooperatively bind glycine to regulate the expression of downstream genes.
Source: RNAcentral
AUGAAGAGUAUAGGAGAGACUCUUAUAGGGCACCGAAGGUACAAGUUGAUAAUUUGCAAUUAUUAAUGAAAUUCUCAGGUAAAAGGACUAUACUUGGACA